This 380-nucleotide unclassified non-coding RNA is filed under the name uncultured bacterium. Its description in RNAcentral is "contains 16S-23S intergenic spacer region". The record is from RNAcentral.
UCCCAGUUUCCCGGGCAGUCUCAUCAGAGUGCCUCCCGAAGGAGUAGCAACUGACGACAGGGGUUGCGCUCGUUAAAGGACUUAACCCAACAUCUCACGACACGAGCUGACGACAGCCAUGCAGCACCUGUUCAAGUGUCCUGGUUUCCCAGAAAAACUGUGUUUCCACAGCGGUCACUUGUAUGUCAAGCCUAGGUAAGGUUUCUCGCGUAGUGUCGAAUUAAACCACAUGUUCCACCGCUUGUGCGGGCCCCCGUCAAUUUCUUUAAGUUUUAGUCUUGCGACCGUAGUCCUCAGGCGGAUCACUUAACGCGUUAGCUUCGAUACACAACUGUUAACCAAUCAUACAUCUAGUGAUCAUCGUUUACGGCGUGGACUAC